UCAAGUAAUUAAGUGCAUGUGGUGGAUGCCUUGGCAGUCAGAGGCGAUGAAAGACGUGAUAGCCUGCGAAAAGCUCCGGGGAGGCGGCAAAUAUCCUUUGAUCCGGAGAUGUCUGAAUGGGGGAACCCACCUACUUUAAGGUAGGUAUUGCAACAUGAAUACAUAGUGUUGCAAGGCGAACGAGGGGAAGUGAAACAUCUCAGUACCCUUAGGAAAAGAAAUCAAUUGAGAUUCCCUCAGUAGCGGCGAGCGAACGGGGAUCAGCCCAUUAAGUUAUGUGUGUUUUAGUGGAACGCUCUGGGAAGUGCGAACGUAGAGGGUGAUAUUCCCGUACACGAAAGGGCACACAUAAUGAUGACGAGUAGGGCGAGGCACGUGAAACCUUGUCUGAAUAUGGGGGGACCAUCCUCCAAGGCUAAAUACUCCUGACUGACCGAUAGUGAACCAGUACCGUGAGGGAAAGGCGAAAAGAACCCCUGUGAGGGGAGUGAAAUAGAUCCUGAAACCGCAUGCAUACAAGCAGUGGGAGCACCUUCGUGGUGUGACUGCGUACCUUUUGUAUAAUGGGUCAGCGACUUAUAUUCAGUAGCAAGGUUAACCGUAUAGGGGAGCCGUAGAGAAAUCGAGUCUUAAUAGGGCGUUUAGUUGCUGGGUAUAGACCCGAAACCAGGCGAUCUAUCCAUGAGCAGGUUGAAGGUUGGGUAACACUAACUGGAGGACCGAACCCACUGUCGUUGAAAAGCCAGGGGAUGACUUGUGGAUAGGGGUGAAAGGCUAAUCAAGCCUGGUGAUAGCUGGUUCUCCCCGAAAGCUAUUUAGGUAGCGCCUCGGACGAAUACCAUAGGGGGUAGAGCACUGUUUCGGCUAGGGGGUCAUCCCGACUUACCAAACCGAUGCAAACUCCGAAUACCUAUGAGUACUAUCCGGGAGACAGACUGCGGGUGCUAACGUCCGUAGUCAAGAGGAAAACAAUCCAGACCGCCAGCUAAGGCCCCAAAAUCAUAGUUAAGUGGGAAACGAUGUGGGAAGGCAUAGACAGCUAGGAGGUUGGCUUAGAAGCAGCCACCCUUUAAAGAAAGCGUAAUAGCUCACUAGUCGAGUCGGCCUGCGCGGAAGAUGUAACGGGGCUAAAACUAUGUGCCGAAGCUGCGGAUGUAUACUUUGUAUACGUGGUAGGGGAGCGUUCUGUAAGCCGAUGAAGGUGUGUUGAGAAGCAUGCUGGAGGUAUCAGAAGUGCGAAUGCUGACGUGAGUAACGACAAAACGGGUGAAAAACCCGUUCGCCGAAAGACCAAGGGUUCCAGUCCAACGUUAAUCGGGGCUGGGUGAGUCGACCCCUAAGGCGAGGCCGAAAGGCGUAGUCGAUGGGAAAAUGGUUAAUAUUCCAUUACUUCUGUGUAAUGCGAUGAGAGGACGGAGAAGGCUAAAUCAGCCUGGCGUUGGUUGUCCAGGUGAAAGGAUGUAGGCAUGUAUCUUAGGCAAAUCCGGGGUACUCUAUGCUGAGAUCUGAUAGCAAGCUGUACUUGUACAGCGAAGUGGUUGAUGCCAUGCUUCCAGGAAAAGUCUCUAAGCUUCAGUUACACAGGAAUCGUACCCGAAACCGACACAGGUGGUCAGGUCGAGUAGACCAAGGCGCUUGAGAGAACUCUGCUGAAGGAACUAGGCAAAAUGGUACCGUAACUUCGGGAGAAGGUACGCUGUUGUUGGUGAUGGAACUCGCUUCCUGAGCUGACGACAGCCGCAGAAACCAGGCCGCUGCAACUGUUUAUUAAAAACAUAGCACUCUGCAAACACGAAAGUGGACGUAUAGGGUGUGAUGCCUGCCCGGUGCUGGAAGGUUAAUUGAUGGGGUUAGCGUAAGCGAAGCUCUUGAUCGAAGCCCCAGUAAACGGCGGCCGAAUUCCUUGUCGGGUAAGUUCCGACCUGCACGAAUGGCAUAAUGAUGGCGGCGCUGUCUCCAGCAGAGGCUCAGUGAAAUCGAAAUCGCUGUGAAGAUGCAGUGUACCCGCGGCUAGACGGAAAGACCCCGUGAACCUUUACUGCAGCUUGACACUGAACUUUGACCUUACUUGUGUAGGAUAGGUGGGAGGCUUUGAAGCUGGAACGCUAGUUCCAGUGGAGCCGUCCUUGAAAUACCACCCUGGUAAUGUUGAGGUUCUAACUCUGUCCCGUGAUCCGGGACGAGGACCGUGUCUGGUGGGUAGUUUGACUGGGGCGGUCUCCUCCUAAAGAGUAACGGAGGAGUACGAAGGUGCGCUCAGCGUGGUCGGAAAUCACGCGUAGAGUAUAAAGGCAAAAGCGCGCUUAACUGCGAGACCCACAAGUCGAGCAGGUACGAAAGUAGGUCUUAGUGAUCCGGUGGUUCUGUAUGGAAGGGCCAUCGCUCAACGGAUAAAAGGUACUCUGGGGAUAACAGGCUGAUACCGCCCAAGAGUUCAUAUCGACGGCGGUGUUUGGCACCUCGAUGUCGGCUCAUCUCAUCCUGGGGCUGAAGCAGGUCCCACCGUGGGCGCUGGAAAUUUGAGAGGAUCUGCUCCUAGUACGAGAGGACCAGAGUGGACGAACCUCUGGUGUACCGGUUGUGACGCCAGUCGCAUCGCCGGGUAGCUAUGUUCGGAAGGGAUAACCGCUGAAAGCAUCUAAGCGGGAAGCCUACCUCAAGAUAAGAUUUCCCUAGGACUUUAUGUCCUCUAAAGAGCCGUUCGAGACUAGGACGUUGAUAGGUUGGAUGUGGAAGCAUAGUGAUAUGUGAAGCUGACCAAUACUAAUUGCUCGUGAGGCUUGACUAU
Molecule: ribosomal RNA, 2788 nt
Filed under: Acinetobacter baumannii
Lineage: Bacteria; Pseudomonadati; Pseudomonadota; Gammaproteobacteria; Moraxellales; Moraxellaceae
Description: bacterial LSU rRNA
Rfam family: Bacterial large subunit ribosomal RNA
Source: RNAcentral